This 497-nucleotide ribosomal RNA is filed under the name uncultured bacterium. RNAcentral's name for it is "partial 16S ribosomal RNA". It matches the Rfam family "Bacterial small subunit ribosomal RNA", at positions 28 to 507 of the family's 1533-position model. The record is from RNAcentral.
GAUGAACGCUGGCGGCGUGCCUAAUACAUGCAAGUCGAGCGAACGGACGAGAAGCUUGCUUCUCUGAUGUUAGCGGCGGACGGGUGAGUAACACGUGGAUAACCUACCUAUAAGACUGUGAUAACUUCGGGAAACCGGAGCUAAUACCGGAUAAUAUUUUGAACCGCAUGGUUCAAAAGUAAAAGACGGUCUUGCUGUCACUUAUAGAUGGAUCCGCGCUGCAUUAGCUAGUUGGUAAGGUAACGGCUUACCAAGGCAACGAUGCAUAGCCGACCUGAGAGGGUGAUCGGCCACACUGGAACUGAGACACGGUCCAGACUCCUACGGGAGGCAGCAGUAGGGAAUCUUCCGCAAUGGGCGAAAGCCUGACGGAGCAACGCCGCGUGAGUGAUGAAGGUCUUCGGAUCGUAAAACUCUGUUAUUAGGGAAGAACAUAUGUGUAAGUAACUGUGCACAUCUUGACGGUACCUAAUCAGAAAGCCACGGCUAACUACGUG